Long non-coding RNA from Oreochromis niloticus (Nile tilapia), 237 nucleotides. RefSeq lists it as uncharacterized. The transcript is spliced from 3 exons. Lineage: Eukaryota; Metazoa; Chordata; Actinopteri; Cichliformes; Cichlidae. The record is from RefSeq and is a predicted model, not a curated record.
UUGAAAGUGCAGGUGGAUAGAGAGAGGUGUGUUGCAGCAGGGACACGUGUAAAAGUUUCAGGACACCGGCCCUCGAGGACUGGAAUUUGACACCUGUGGUCUAAGGGAGUCUCUGUGAGUCACUAACCCUCCAACAGAUGUCCCCAAAAGGCAGAAACAUCCACCCUACAAUAAUUCUAAACAAACCUUCUGUCCACAUGAAGUUAGAAGGCACUUAUAAUCACUUAACAGUGAAAU